Molecule: ribosomal RNA, 468 nt
Filed under: uncultured bacterium
Lineage: Bacteria
Description: partial 16S ribosomal RNA
Rfam family: Bacterial small subunit ribosomal RNA
Source: RNAcentral
GACGAACGCUGGCGGCGUGCUUAACACAUGCAAGUCGAACGGAAAGGCCCUGCUUUUGUGGGGUGCUCGAGUGGCGAACGGGUGAGUAACACGUGAGUAACCUGCCCUUGACUUUGGGAUAACUUCAGGAAACUGGGGCUAAUACCGGAUAGGAGCUCCUGCUGCAUGGUGGGGGUUGGAAAGUUUCGGCGGUUGGGGAUGGACUCGCGGCUUAUCAGCUUGUUGGUGGGGUAGUGGCUUACCAAGGCUUUGACGGGUAGCCGGCCUGAGAGGUUGACCGGCCACAUUGGGACUGAGAGACGGACCAGACUCCUACGUGAGGCAGCGGUGGGGAAUAUUGCACAAUGGGCGGAAGCCUGAUGCGGCAACGCCGGGUGCGGGAUGACGGCCUUCGGGUGGUAAACCGCUUUCGCCUGUGACGAAGCGUGAGUGACGGUAAUGGGUAAAGAAGCACCGGCUAACUACGUG